GCAUAUCAAUAAGCGGAGGAAAAGAAACCAACAGGGAUUGCCCUAGUAACGGCGAGUGAAGCGGCAACAGCUCAAAUUUGAAAUCUGGCCUCGGCCCGAGUUGUAAUUUGCAGAGGAAGCUUUAGGCGCGGCACCUUCUGAGUCCCCUGGAACGGGGCGCCAUAGAGGGUGAGAGCCCCGUAUAGUUGGAUGCCUAGCCUGUGUAAAGCUCCUUCGACGAGUCGAGUAGUUUGGGAAUGCUGCUCAAAAUGGGAGGUAAAUUUCUUCUAAAGCUAAAUACCGGCCAGAGACCGAUAGCGCACAAGUAGAGUGAUCGAAAGAUGAAAAGCACUUUGAAAAGAGGGUUAAAAAGCACGUGAAAUUGUUGAAAGGGAAGCGCUUGUGACCAGACUUGCGCCGGGCUGAUCAUCCGGUGUUCUCACCGGUGCACUCGGCCCGGCACAGGCCAGCAUCGGUUCUCGCGGGGGGAUAAAGGUCCCGGGAACGUAGCUCCUCCGGGAGUGUUAUAGCCCGGGGCGUAAUGCCCUCGCGGGGACCGAGGUUCGCGCAUCUGCAAGGAUGCUGGCGUAAUGGUCAUCAGCGACCCGUCUUGAAACACGGACCAAGGAGUCAAGGUUUUGCGCGAGUGUUUGGGUGUCAAACCCGCACGCGUAAUGAAAGUGAACGUAGGUGAGAGCUUCGGCGCAUCAUCGACCGAUCCUGAUGUUUUCGGAUGGAUUUGAGUAGGAGCGUUAAGCCUUGGACCCGAAAGAUGGUGAACUAUGCUUGGAUAGGGUGAAGCCAGAGGAAACUCUGGUGGAGGCUCGCAGCGGUUCUGACGUGCAAAUCGAUCGUCAAAUCUGAGCAUGGGGGCGAAAGACUAAUCGAACCAUCUAGUAGCUGGUUACCGCCG
RNAcentral lists this ribosomal RNA (892 nucleotides) under Dichotomopilus indicus. RNAcentral describes it as "LSU rRNA". It matches the Rfam family "Eukaryotic large subunit ribosomal RNA", at positions 38 to 963 of the family's 3401-position model. Lineage: Eukaryota; Fungi; Ascomycota; Sordariomycetes; Sordariales; Chaetomiaceae. The record is from RNAcentral.